AUACGGAUGGAGCAAGCGUUGUCCGGAAUCAUUGGGCGUAAAGGGUGCGUAGGCGGUUUUUUAAGUCUGCAUUGUAAGUUCAGUGCUUAACGCUGAAAUUGGUGCGGAAACUGGAAGACUUGAGUACUGUAGGGGAAAGCGGAAUGCCCUGUGUAGAGGUGAAAUUCGUAGAUAUAGGGUGGAACAUCAAAAGCGAAGGCAGCUUUCUGGGCAGUAACUGACGCUGAGGCACGAAAGCGUGGGGAGCAAACAGGAUUAGAUACCCUGGUAGUCCACGCCGUAAACGAUGGAUGCUAGAUGUUGGCGGGAAUCUUCCUGUCAGUGUCGGAGCUAACGCAAUAAGCAUCCCGCCUGGGGAGUACGGUCGCAAGGCUGAA
RNAcentral lists this ribosomal RNA (377 nucleotides) under uncultured bacterium. RNAcentral describes it as "bacterial SSU rRNA". It matches the Rfam family "Bacterial small subunit ribosomal RNA", at positions 523 to 898 of the family's 1533-position model. The record is from RNAcentral.